ACUGCGGCUGCUGGAAAUCUGAAACAGAAAUGUUGUAACUCUGUAUGGUGUUGCAUAUUAAGGAUCUGCUUCACUUUAAGGGGUUAAACUAUUCCCGAAGGGAAUGGGAUCGCCAUAACCUUUUUUAACGGGCUGUGAUGUUGGGUGUGCCCGUGCAGUCCGCCCGAAUUUACUGAAGACUGUUUGAUGGUUUAAUGCAAUUUUAAAAGAUUCAAAUCGGAGCAGCUCCUUCAGCUAUUCGCUGCUUUUUGAAGAAGGGAAUUUGCAGACAUGCGCGUUGUGAAGACUGAGCUGGAAGAUUGUCAGGGUUAGCGAGGCUAAGAAGCAGAAACCCUGGGUCAUUCACUGUUCUCAUCAGCCGCUAGGACAGCCGUGCCUUAGUCGCCCCGCGUGUUCAUUUCGCCAGAUGCCACCAGUCUAACACCGGUCUGUGGUGGAUGCAGAAGCCAGUUUCCAGACACCUGCAGACUGACAGGCUCAUGAAAUGAUCCUGGGCAAACAUACAAGAGGUGAAUGAAAAAUAAAUACUGGCUCACCAAUUUUCUGGGCCACUGAGUACUGCAGAGAAAAGAGGCUUGGCUUGUUUCCUUGUUUUACUGUUAUAUACCUCAAUUAAAUGCUCCUCCUCCUGUGUUCCAAACAAAACAGCACCAGUCUAACCAGUCAGGUGAGAUUCUUCAAAUCCUAAAAUUUAUUGUCUAUUCUCUUUCUAGUUUGUCCUUACAAAAUGCAUCUAUCUGGAUUCAGUUCCAUCUGCCACCUUGGCACACCCGGCAAGUUUUUUGUCUUUCUGUGAGAUAUUUAUUGCCACUCCCUGUUGAUGUUUGACUUUUCUCAUCACCAUUUAUGACACUUUACAUCCUGCUGCAGCAACAACAUCCCACGUCCCUGUGUGUUCCAGACUUUUAUCACAUGAACAAGGGAUAUAAUUUAAAUAAUGAAUAACAAAGUCAAUUUGGAUAAUAGGCUAGGGGAUAGCUCAGUAGAAAUAGUAAAUAGUUUACGUUAUUUUUUCCACAAUAUUCAGAAUUAAUAUUCCUGCCACAUGAGGUCCAAGUCAUAUUUACAAAAGCAAUUCCAUACAGGCAUGUAAUUUUAAAGACUCAACGUAUGAAUGGUUUCUGUACUCAUUAAUGACUAUUUUAUGUUAUCCUGAGUUGUGUUCUGGCUUGCAUACAACUUGACUCUUGAAUCGACUCAAGAAUGGACACUAUUCACAACCCGGGAACUGCCUGUAACAAAGAAAAAGUCUUGAUUAAGGACCUACCAUCCAUGGUUAACUGAAGAAGUUAGGGAAAGCAUCACACCUAAGGAAAAAAACAUAAGUGUGCAAAGAUGAGUGGUAGGUCAAUGAGUUGUCAGAAUAUUAAGAGUGGCAGAAAAUGAUGGAAAUGUUAAUCCAGAGGAAUCAAGAAAAUUUUGGUCUUCUAGACGGAAUGGGAAAUUAAUAGUGAGUAAAAAGGAAAUAGCAGAUGAAAUUAGCGUAAUUGCUUCUGCCUUCAUUAUAAAAGAUACAAACAUUCUAGUAAUGGCUGUGAAUCAGAAGGUAGAAGGGAAAGAGGAAUUUAGUGAAAUUAUAAUCUUAAUGAAAGCUUACUGAACACAUUGAUGGAACCUUGGGCUCAAAAGUCUCUAGGUCUAAAUGCACUUCUUCCUUGAGUCUUAGUAGAGGUAGCUAAUGAGGUAGUACAUGUAUUAUUAAUGUUCCAAAAUUUGCUUAAUUCCAGAAAGGUUCCAUUGGACUGAAACAUAGUAACAUAACCCCUCCUAUUCUAAAAGGGAAUGAGGCAGAAAAUAGGAACUACAGUUAGUUUGGUUGCUGUUGUGAGGAAAGUGUUAGAGAAUCAAGCAUUAAAGAGAUUAUAGCUGUGCACUUAGAAAAACCUCAAAACAAACACGAAGAGGCACUAUGAACUCAACAAAGCGAAAUCAUGUUUAAGCAGUUUAUUGGAAUUCUUUUGAGGGGAUAACAUAAGUUGUGAAUAAAAGAAAACCUGUAGACCUUUCAGGAUUUUUGAAGACAUUUAAUAAUAGGGCAGAUAAUAGAAACUCAUGUUGUAAUGGUUAACAUAUAUGAGCAUGGUUAGAAGUUUGGCUGGUUGGUAGAAGGCAGAGUAUCUGUGCUGGGACCUCAACCUUUUAAAUUUUCAUCAAAGACUUGGAAGUGGGAAGAAGGAAGCCAAGAUAUGGUAGAUAAAUCUGCUGACAACACCAAGACAGAUAAGAAAGUAUAUUGUGAAAAAUAUGCAAGGGGUGAGCAAAAAUCUGACAUUGGUAUAAUGUGGGAAAAUGUGAAGUUGUUCACUUUGGCAGGAAGAAUGAAGAGCAGAACAUUACUUAAAGGAGGAACACUUGUGGUAUUCUGGGGCACAGAAGGAUUUAGGUUUCUCUAGAGUAUGAGUCACAAAAAUAUUUAGUAUGCAGGUACAGCAAAAUCAAGAGGCCAAUGGGAUGCUAUUCUUUAUUAUGAGGGAUAUUGAACAUAAAAGUAAGGAAAUUAUGCUUCAGUUGUACAUGGCAUUGGUGAGAUCAUAUCUCAAAUGAGUGUGUGGUUUUGGUCUCCUUAUUUAAAGAAGAAUGCAAAUGAAUUGGAGGUUGUUCAGAGGUGAUUUUAUAAAUUGAAAGUGGAAUGAGUAGGUUGUCUUCUGAGGAAAGAUUACAAAGGCUGAGCUUGCUUCCAGUGAAAUUUUAGUAGAGUAAGGGAUGACUUGAGUGAAUAAAUCCUGAACAAUCUUAACAUGUGAAUAGAAUAACUUUUCUUGCAGGUGUGCAUCCAAAAAUAGAGGACCCUGUUCGAAAAUUUUGGGUUCACUUUUUCGGACCGAUGAAAAUUUUUUUCUGAGGGUUGAGAGUAUGGAGCUGUCUGCUUCAGAGGUGGUGAACAUGGGGUCUAUUAACUAUUUUCAAGGCAAAGGUAGCUAGAUUCUUGUUAGGCAUGUGAUUCAGAUACUAUCAGGUGAGAUAGGAGUGUGGAAUUCAAAACACAAACAGAUCAGAUUGAAUGUCAGAGCAAGCUUGAGAGCUGAAUGGUUUGCUCCUGUUCCUAUUUUGUGUGUUCAUAAGUAAUGCUUCCUUUUGCUGAAUUAAUAUUCUAGUAUCAAUGCCAAUCAAGUUAUGUAAAUAUGCACCAACUACCUUUUCACAAAUUUCUCUUCUUGUAGUCAGUUGUUUUUUUAACCACAUGGAUCUAUCAGCCACAGUCUGAUUACUAGUCUGCUUCUUAGAAUCUUGAUAUCUUCCAAUUUACUGAUCCUACCC
Molecule: non-coding RNA, 3258 nt
Organism: Chiloscyllium plagiosum (whitespotted bambooshark)
Lineage: Eukaryota; Metazoa; Chordata; Chondrichthyes; Orectolobiformes; Hemiscylliidae
Source: RefSeq, a predicted model, not a curated record